AGCGGUGGCCCUGGGGAGGAAGAGACAAAAGAAGUUUGAUUAAACUGUCUUCACUCCCUUUUUCAUUUGGCUGCUGCUGGAUGAAAAUCAGUUAUUUACAGGAAUAGAAUGGUUCUGUACACUGUGGGCUGCAUAAAGUUUUUGAGUGAAUGAUGAAAAACACCAACUUUUGAAUGACAUUGUUUUCCUGUUUCCUGCAGUCUCUAAACAUAUCCUUGUUUAUCUCAAAGAUUAUUAAAUUAUUGAUCAAUUUAAGCUCAAUGGUCUUUGCUGUCUCCCUCUUAAAAUGGAUGAAUAGAUGUGAUUACCUGGCGUCCAGGAGAAUUGGAUCCAAAGGAGGGUACAUGGAUCUGACAACGUCGUCCACCCUGGGAGCAGGCAGGAUGGAGAUGCAGUGAGAGACCAGACCACUGUUGGAGAAAAUGUCAUAGAAUUAGGAUUAGGAUUCACAGCGCUGAUUGAAACACAACAUUGACACUGAUGGAGGUAAGUUCACGUCUAAAACUCUAAACUUCACGCCAUGUCACGAUGCUGCUGUUCAGACAUACGAGGCGUCUUCAAUCCAGUCCUCGUUGUCCAGGAUGGCCUCGAUGUGAGGGUUGGUGAUGACCACGUCGUCCAGCUCCAGCUCCGACAGUUCGCUCUGAGUCUCCAUGGCUCCGAUCAGAUCGACCGUCGGUCUGAGAAACAGGUUGAAGCAGAAGCGAGUGAAGCCUUGCUGUCUUCAGUUUGUAGAGAAAAACAUAAAUGGAAAUAAUCUGCAGAUCUCCUGCGCUCCAGCUUCACCUCUUUUCCUCGUGCUCACGCUCUUGGAUUUCUCCUCCUCUCUUGGAUUUUGCCUUCUUCGCUGGAUUUUUUUGUGCAAAAAGUCUUCAAGCAACAAAAUAUCUGUGUGCAAAUCUGAGCACAAGCACCUGAGUGCAAGCACCGGGAUUCGAUUCAAGCAUAACAAAAUCUGAACGGGAAUUCAGUAAGUCCUGCUCUCAAUAACACUCUUGAAUAAAGACAGGAAGACAACCCAUAAAGAAGAAUGUAUUCAUAUCAACUUUACUGAUUGUUUUUGUUUACUGCACUUAUUUGCUUUUUUCUUUAUGAUGCAUAGAAUAAUCAAUCAUGCACCUCUGAGUUGAUUAUAUGUCACCAUUAAUAUUAAAAUUGCAAAUUGUAAAAGAAUAGUGUGAAUCGAUAGUAUAUGAAGGCACAAAUUUGGUCUUUCUACUGAACCUGUUCGUACAGUGUCAUACAGCAGCAAUGCAGAGAAACCACGUUGCAGAGUUGACAGUGAAAUACAAACACUAAACUCAAUAGAAGUUGUAAAGUGCUGUUAACUGACUUGGUGUCGAAGUGGUGCAGCAGGUCGUGAGGGUGGCAGUAGCGGUGUCUGCACACCACCACCAGGGCAAUGAAGGAGGCCAGGAAAAUGGUGGUCAACACCCCAAUGGCUACGAUCACCACCGUCUCCAUGGCGACUCCGGCUCCCACCACCAGCAACUCGUCAAGAGGAAGAAAAAAAAAAAGUCCAAUCAGGGCCGGAUGAUUCUCCGAGCUCGAUCACGGGCGGGUGCUCAUCUGUCAAGGGGAGAGAAGCGUUUGGUCUCUAGUCUGAUUGGGGUGACAUCAAACCCGCAGAAGAGCGACAAAUAUCGACACCCUUGAGGAUAUAACAGCGAGAGAUUUCCCUGAUUUCCAUUUUUGUCGAGACAUAAACCACCUCCAGGCCCUUGUAGGGAAGAAUCCUAUCAGCAGUGUUUUGUCUGAUUCUAAAUAUGGCACACCUACACUGCACACAUAAAGUUGAUCUUUAUCUGAGAACAUUAAACGCUGAACUGCACUUGGCCUUUGUUUGCACUUUGUAUUGAGAACGGAUUCAGAGACGUUUUCCUACAUUCUGCAGCCCCAGUCAACAACGACAUCAAUUCUAUUCAACUAUAACAAGCAGCCUCAAAGUCAACAGCUUGAAAAACUGCGUCUCAACCCUCAGUCUUAACCUCUACAAAGAAGGAAACUAGGAGAAUAAAACCCCACGUGAACUUUGACCUCUUACCCUCUGAUGUUUUCAGUGCAGGCUGAACUAUUUUUGGAUUAUCUGCAGGUUGAUUUCUCUGACAUGCUCCCACAUCGAGCGUCUCUCUGAAAAGUGUGAAGUAAACCUGCUCUCUUCCCAGUCUGGUCACUCAUUAACUCGCCCUGCCCCGCCUGAUCGCUGGUGAGUGAAUUCUCCAGAGGGAAGCUGUCAUUGGACACUAAGACAGCUUUCUGUGCAGAGAGUAAUUGAUUUGUAAUUAGGCUGUAGCUUUUUCAAAGCAGGGGUUCUGCUUCCUGCGCACAAAUGACCACACGAGAGCUGCACUUUCAACCUUACAACAUUUUAAACCUGCAUUUUGUUUUAGCCCCGGAUGAUUAUGUGAGAUUCAGCCGUGGAAUGCUGUAAUUCUUUAAUCAGAUUAAUUUGUGUUACACUCGCCGUAUCGUACAGGGCUUUCUCCCGACUCUCUCAUGCCUAGGAGCUUUUUUCUGGCUCCUUUUCUUUUCACGGGCUGCUGCUCUCCUAAAGCCUGCAAACCCCACUGCUAUAAUGGAAACAUGUUAAAGUAAACUGUGUGACUUUUAAAAGUGUUUCAGGGGAAAGAAAAACUCCAGAGGGCCGCUCACUUUUCAGCACUCUAAAUAUCCUUCAGUCUGUUAAAAGCCAUCAGUGGAAACAGCAGAGCUUUUUUUGUCCACAUAAAAAUGUAUCAAAUCCUGUAAAAAAACUAACUUUUGGUGUCGUUUAAGGAGGACUAACUUUUUCCACCAAACCCUAACUAAGACUAACGUUGAUUUUCUGACAGUAUUUAUUACAACUUAUACCGAAGUAAAUGAUCUGUUUCCAGCACUGCAAAUAACAAAUACUGCAAAGAGUAUUCUACAGAUAAACCACAACAAUGUAAAACAAUCAGGGAAAAUAAAUUCGAAGUAACACUGUACAUAAUCCCCCUGUUGAACUUUAUUUGUCCCUGUAAGAGCAACUUUCCUGUCAAAAGUGGCCCCCAACCAGCUUAACAGAAAUAUGUAUCAUUCCACCACUGUAUCCAAACAUAGAAUAAAGGAGCAUAGAGCAUAUAGGAGCACAAACACAUUACAAACUAUUAUCAAUAUGUCGAGAAGAUGGACAACAGAGUCCAUUAUACAAAAGGUCUGGGUUUUGUUCCUAUGCCGGUAAACAUUUUUUACCAAAUGUAUUUGUUUCACCAUAUUCAUGUUAUUUUUCCUAAGAUUAAGGAUCAUUAACAAACACACAAAGACCAUUCUUCAUGAAUAACAAUAAAACUUUUUCACUAAAGGAUACACUUUUUGAGUCUAUUUAAACAACUUUAUACAGAAAAUAUGAAUUAUAGUCACACCUAAGAAACACUUUAAAAGGUUGUUUAUGAAAGGUAGAAAACUCUAAACUUGUUUUGCAGCCACUCACCUCAACAUUUUGUGCUUUUCGUCGGUUUCCUCUCGGGACGCACACAAUCCUAAACUCUCCUCUCUGCCAUCGGGAGCGCGGAGACGGCACCGAAAUCUCCAAAACCUGGGGCGUCGCGAACGCGCACAGAGGCAGGGCCCCAUUAGGUGCGUGAACUUUUUCAGGCUCGAUAAACUUUAACAGCGCGCGUGGGUGGCAGCCUCGGCCACGCGGGUGGUACUUGUGUGUGUGCGUAAAGCGCGCUCCCGCUGUCACGUAAGUAAAGCUGCAUUGCUCCAAACGAGGAACUCAAGUGGAUGCGUGUAACACGUGGUGGCGUCAGCAUCGUGAAGCUGGAGGCAAACCACUGCAACACCAUCUGUAUCCAAGAGGCAGAAGAAGCAGAGACAACUCAGAGACAUGGGUGAUGAGGCCUAUAAGAAAAAGGUAAUCGGCAACAAGAGGACAAAUGGCCACCACAGACGUUUAAAGAAUCGGUCACCAGUUACUUCGAUUGUAUUGGAUUUGCCUGCAACGCUUUUUACCCCAGAAAGUGUUUCGUGGACUCAAACACUUCACCCACCCCUCCAUCGGC
Molecule: long non-coding RNA, 4025 nt
Organism: Hippoglossus stenolepis (Pacific halibut)
Lineage: Eukaryota; Metazoa; Chordata; Actinopteri; Pleuronectiformes; Pleuronectidae
Exons: 5
Source: RefSeq, a predicted model, not a curated record